Molecule: ribosomal RNA, 520 nt
Filed under: uncultured Gammaproteobacteria bacterium
Lineage: Bacteria; Pseudomonadati; Pseudomonadota; Gammaproteobacteria
Description: bacterial SSU rRNA
Rfam family: Bacterial small subunit ribosomal RNA
Source: RNAcentral
AAUAUUGGGCAAUGGGCGCAAGCCUGAUCCAGCAAUUCGGGGUGUGUGAAGAAGGCCUGCGGGUUGUAAAGCACUUUCGGCAGGGAAGAAAGGCUCAAUGCUAAUACCAUUGGGUUAUGACGUUACCUGCAUAAGAAGCCCCGGCUAACUCCGUGCCAGCAGCCGCGGUAAUACGGAGGGUCCAAGCGUUUUUGGGAAUUACUGGGGGUAAAGCGCGGGUAGGGGGUUAAGUAAGUCGGAUGUGAAAGUCCUGGGCUUAACCUGGGAAUUGCAUACGAUACUGCUUGGCUAGAGUAUAGGAGAGGAAGGCGGAAUUCCAGGGGUAGCGGUGAAAUGGGUAGAUAUCUGGAGGAACACCAGUGGGGAAGGCGGCCUUCUGGCCUAAUACUGACGUUGAGGCGGGAAAGCGUGGGGACCAAACAGGAUUAGAUACCCUGGUAGUCCACGCUGUAAACGAUGAGGACUGGUUUUUGGAAGGGUUUGCCUUUCAGUGACGCAGCUAACGCGCUAAGUCCUCCGC